Non-coding RNA from Gossypium raimondii (Peruvian cotton), 144 nucleotides. Lineage: Eukaryota; Viridiplantae; Streptophyta; Magnoliopsida; Malvales; Malvaceae. The record is from Rfam.
UAUUAAAAAAUCUAUUCAUUUCUACCGUUAAAAACUGGCGUUGCUAACAUAAUAACCAAAUAGUUACACAUGACAUGACACAUUUGCCCCAUUUUGGCAUACAAGGACCAAUUUUAACAAUAGAAAUGGAUGGAAAUUUUAAGA